Molecule: long non-coding RNA, 1822 nt
Filed under: Monodelphis domestica (gray short-tailed opossum)
Lineage: Eukaryota; Metazoa; Chordata; Mammalia; Didelphimorphia; Didelphidae
Description: lncRNA (ENSMODG00000051143.1)
Source: RNAcentral
AUGCAGCAUGGUUCUACAAUGGAGAAAGAACCUGGACGAGACCAUAGAUUCAAUCUGAUUGAAUUCAAUUCAACAAGACUCCUAGGUCUCCUAAGACUCUGUGUUGCAGAGAAGGUACAUGAAUACAGGGUCUUCCUCCCUAUAUUCCUUCCUUUCCUUUCUUUCUUUCUUUCUUUCUUUCUUUCUUUCUUUUCCUUCCUUCCUUCCUUCCUUUCUUUCUUUCUUUCUUUCUUCCUUUCUUUCUUUCUUUCUUUCUUUCUUUCUUUCUUUCUUUCUUUCUUUCUUUCUUUCUUUCUUUCUUUCUUUCUUUCUUUCUUUCUUUCUUUCUUUCUUUCUUUCUUUCUUUCUUUCUUUCUUUCUUUCUUUCUUCCUUCCUUCCUUCCUUCCUUUCUUCCUUCCUUCUCUCCUUCCUUCCUUCCUUCCUUCCUUUCUUCCUUCCUUCUCUCCUUCCUUCCUUCCUUCCUUCCAUCCUUCUCUCCUGNNNNNNNNNNNNNNNNNNNNNNNNNNUUUCUUUCUUUCUUUAUUUCUUUCUUUCAUUCAUUCUUUCUUUCAUUCUUUCUUUCUUUCUUUCUCUGUCUAUCCCCCCUCUCUCUGUCUCUCUAUCUUUCUCCUUCUCUCUUUCUCCCUCCCUCUCUCUCUCUUUCUUUCUCUGUCUAUCCCCCCUCUCUCUGUCUCUCUAUCUUUCUCCUUCUCUCUUUCUCCCUCCCUCUCUCUCUCUCUCUCUCUCUCUCUCUCUCUCUCUCUUUCUUUCUUUCUUUCUUUCUUUCUUUCUUUCUUUCUUUCUUUCUUUCUUCACCCAUGGUGGGUAUAAACAGGCUGUAGCACAUGCCAGUUGCCAAUAGCACAUAAAAUGGGUGAUCUCCCCAACAACUUAAUGAGUGAAAAGGAAGUGAUGGAUGAUGUAGCAAGAGGAAGGGAUAGAUGCUAACCAGUGUGCAGUCCUGGCACUCGGAUAAUUCCAAGAGAGUUAGAGGAAGUUCCUGCUGAAUGUUGGGAGGAACCUCAGGACAGUUUUAAGGGAGAACCUGGACAAGAAGGGAAUGGGAUUACAAAAUAUGAAUGACUUGUGUUCUGGGAUGCCUUAGGAGGCAGUGAGCUCCCCAUCAAUGGAUUUUCUUGAGCAGAAGUUAUGUGACCAUUUAUCAAAAAUGCCACAGAGGGAUUCCCAUUUGAGCCAGUCAGUCAGACUGACAGUUUGGGUAUGUAUUGGCCCAGACAGUCUCUGAGGUCUCUUCUAGCUCUGGAGAAAAUAUACAGGGAUGUUAGCCUACAGCUACUAGAGUAGGCUGGCUGUCUGCCAAUUUUUACCCACUUGGUCCCAUGCAUCAGGAAUGCAUUCUGUACAUACCUGUGCCUUGUCAGAUUUCUUUGUUGUUGUUCCAAAGUAUUCAAUGCUUUCUGACCCCAUUUGGGAUUUUUUGGCAAAGAUACUGGAAUGGUUUGCCAUGUCCUUCUCCAGUUCAUUUGACAGAUGAGGAAAAAGAAGCAAAGAGGGUUAAGUGACUUGCCCAGGGUCACACAGCUAGUAUGUAAUGGAGGCUGAAUUUGAAUUCAUGAAUAUAAGGCUUCCUGGCUCUAGACCUAGGACCCUGACCACUGGACCACCUAGCUGCCCUGGCAAAUCUCUGGUAUCCUUUAAAACGUAGCUCAGGUACCACCUGUCCCAUAAAGCCUUUCCUGAUCCCCCCAAGGAGUCCGCCCAGUAUAUUGCUUGGCAUCCCAUAUAUGCUGUGUCUCCCAGAUAAACACAAACUCUUCCACCCCUUCAAAGCUAAUGUCCAGCAGGCUUCUGUCCUCUGCCCCUUCCUCUGAUUGGUCAGUU